Molecule: ribosomal RNA, 292 nt
Filed under: uncultured bacterium
Lineage: Bacteria
Description: partial 16S ribosomal RNA
Source: RNAcentral
GGACUACUGGGGUAUCUAAUCCUGUUCGCUCCCCACGCUUUCGCGCCUCAGCGUCAGUAUGAUGCCAGGUGGCUGCCUUCGCCAUCGACGUUCCUUCCGAUCUCUACGCAUUUCACCGCUACACCGGAAAUUCCGCCACCCUCUCAUCUACUCCAGUACGAUCGUUUGCGAUGCACUUCCUAGGUUAAGCCCAGGGCUUUCACAUCACACUCAUCAUACCGCCUACGCGCCCUUUACGCCCAGUAACUCCGAUUAACGCUCGCACCCUCUGUAUUACCGCGGCUGCUGGCAC